Podarcis lilfordi (Lilford's wall lizard) is the source of this 86-nucleotide non-coding RNA. Lineage: Eukaryota; Metazoa; Chordata; Lepidosauria; Squamata; Lacertidae. The record is from the annotation of a GenBank genome assembly.
ACAGGGGAAGGAAUGUGGCUCAGUGGGAGAGCAUCUGCUUUGCAUGCAGAAGGUCUCAGGUUCAAUCCCCGGUAAUGACCCCUGCU